RNAcentral lists this ribosomal RNA (478 nucleotides) under uncultured bacterium. RNAcentral describes it as "partial 16S ribosomal RNA". It matches the Rfam family "Bacterial small subunit ribosomal RNA", at positions 28 to 507 of the family's 1533-position model. The record is from RNAcentral.
GAUGAACGCUGGCGGCGUGCUUAACACAUGCAAGUCGAACGAGAAGUGAAGACGGAAACCUUCGGGCGGAAGGCUUUAUUUCGAGUGGCGGACGGGUGAGUAACGCGUGGGUAACCUGCCUCAUACAGGGGGAUAACAGUUGGAAACGACUGUUAAUACCGCAUAAGACCACAGCACCGCAUGGUGCGGGGGUAAAAACUCCGGUGGUAUGAGAUGGACCCGCGUUCGAUUAGCCAGUUGGCGGGGUGACGGCCCACCAAAGCGACGAUCGAUAGCCGAUCUGAGAGGAGGACCGGCCACAUUGGGACAGAGACACGGACCGAACUCCUACGGGAGGCAGCAGUGGGGAAUAUUGCACAAUGGGGGAAACCCUGAUGCAGCGACGCCGCGUGAGUGAAGAAGUAUUUCGGUAUGUAAAGCUCUAUCAGCAGGGAAGAAAAUGACGGUACCUGAGUAAGAAGCCCCGGCUAACUACGUG